Molecule: long non-coding RNA, 6939 nt
Filed under: Nicotiana tabacum (common tobacco)
Lineage: Eukaryota; Viridiplantae; Streptophyta; Magnoliopsida; Solanales; Solanaceae
Description: long non-coding RNA (NTAB_LNC018854)
Source: RNAcentral
CCCAUAAAGGCACCUUUUCUUGCAUUGAAAGGCAUACCCAAGAGAGAUGAGUGAUAGAAAUAUAAGAAAAUCAUAGCGGCAAAACAUCAGUGAAAAUACUGAUAUAUUGGGUCUUCUUUAUGGAUUUCUUAAUUUUUCAGCUUCUAAGAACAAAUUUGAAUCUAAAUAAAGCUGAAAUGGUUUAAGGAUAGUGGUAAAAAGGGCUUGAUUUGAAGCUCUGGUCAAUUGGGUGCAAAGCUUGGUUUCAAAGUUCUUUUCCUCUUGGUUAUCUCUGCUUUGGGUCAUUGACUGCUACUACUACUGCUACUACUGAAUCUUAUCCCAUUUAUUCUCAUUUUCAGGUACAAUUUUUUAACUCUAUUCGCCGUAGAAACUUUGUGAUAUGGAAACCUAGAAGAUUGGAAGCAUAUUGGCCAUCUUGUUCUCAUUAUAGGAGUUUAAUCCUGGUUUUAUUUCGAGCUUUAGUUUGAAUAUGUUUGCGUUUGUAUGUUGGUUGGUGACAAUGCUCUUUAAGGGUUGAGUUUGAUUUUAAAAUGGGUAUAAGGUUCAAUUUUGGUCGGAUGUUCUGUAAUCUGGAAACCUGUACUGUAUAAAUAGAUCUGGUCAUGAUGUUUUAAAUCUGCCUGAAAGAUGAAACAACAUAGUUGUCUAUGCUGAGUCAUUAAUAAAGUUCUGCAUAUAAUCUUAAGUAGCAACCCGCUUAAUUGGAUGUUGAAUAAUCAAAAGUCAAUAGAUAUUGUAACCUUUGUGUAGGAGUAGUGUGAUUAGCUAAUAAAAUCCACCGCCUAUUGUUAGUUAUUAAAUCUGGAAUUCACGAUUGCUUUCAUGAUCAAGCUAUUAUUGGGUGUUGUCUGAUUGGCUAAUAAUGAAUUUAAAAGGAUUCUCCAGUUUGCUUGCAUAGGUAUUAGGCUCGUUCUGGACUCUUUUGAAUCCUUUGAUCACUUCAAUCUUUGUUCACAUGGUAAGGGUUCGAUGCUGGGUCCCGGUCCAACAGCUGCAAGGCUCCAUAUUUGGGCCAUUCCGAGGCCCAAUUCUGAAGGUCUCUUUGAAUCAUAGUCGGACCAUUUCCCGUUUGGGGCUAUCAUUCCUUGUGUGUUGGCUCAAGUUUCUCUUAUACAAUGCACUAGUUUCCCCUCAUAUAAGCCACCCCGACUAGUAUAGAUAGAACCUCCAAUUACAUGCAGUGUUAAUUGGUCAAACUAUUAACUAAUCAAGGCGAGUCGUAUUAAAUAAUACAAAUAGUUAUGGCCCUCUAAAUGCAGUUGAAUUCCCUUUCUUAAAUUUGGAAUUGAGGCGCGUCAUGCCAAACAAAAAAAUGAUAAUUGUGUGGCCCUCGCUUAAUUAUUCCUUUUAAAAUUCUUAGAAUUCGAGGCGUGCCAUUUAGCAAAUUCCAUGGCCCUCGCAAAGUUGCAAAUGAGUAAUUGUUUUAGGAGCGUUGUUUUAAUAAUUUACCUUCCUAAACUCGGGUGCGCAUUUAUGUGACCCAAAUCCAAAUCUCAACGAUGUUAAAAUAUGUCAAAAACCGCGGGUACAUUUAUGUGACAUGGUUCGAAACGUGUUUUAAUAACGUUGCAAUUUUCUUUGAAAAAUGAAUAAAAGGGGCUAAAACUAAAAUUGCACAUAGGUUAAAACAUGUAUUAAAAUCAGAUAAUAGGCCAAUUAUAAUAGUUGAGCGACCGUGCUAGAACCACGGAACUCGAGAAUGCAUAACACCUUCUCCCGGGUUAACAGAAUUCCUUACCCGGAUUUCUGUGUUCGCAGACUGUAAUACAAAGUCAAUCUUUUCCUCGAUUCGGGAUUCAACCGGUGACUUGGGACACCAUAAAUUAUUUCAAGUGGUAACUCUGAAUUUUUAAUAAAUUAAUCUCGUUUCGAUUGUCACUUUAAGUUAGAAAAAACUCCCUAUAUACACCAUUUUCGGGGUGUAAGAAAAAGGAGGUGUGACACGAAGAAAUGAGAAAUAUAGCACCAAGUUUUCUUCUUUUUUAAUAAUAACGGGAGGGGAAAGGAAGAGGAACUUUCAUAUCUAAGUGGUGUGGGCAACCACGUCAUGUAUUUGUCUGCCACAAUGAUAAUCUUAACGACUUAUUACAAUUAAUUACAAAAAUAUAAGUACUACUUAUGUUUAUGUAGAGCAUGCACUUAUAUACUAGUAACAUAUAUAUAUUUCACCAUGUCAUAUGUAUUUUCCCUAUAUAUUUACAUUACGUCUCAAGUUAAGUUGACCUAGUGAACCAAACAUCCACCUCUUACGAUGUUUAUAUAUUAUAUAAAUUCCACCUUAGCGUAUACAUAUAUACCUGCACGCUCAUUUUUUAUGUAGUAUAAAUAUGUGCUAUGCACCCUAUAUAUUCAGCCUAUCUAUAGCCGACACCUUGUAUGUUUACUUCAAUUGUUGUUUGAAAUUUUGGGUCUGUAGUUUCUGAUUCUUGUGUACGUAGGCAUAUAAUAUUUCAAUGGCGGAGGCUGUAGAAAGAACAAGAUCAAUUUCUCCUAGGUACUUCCAUAGCCAAAACUCCAAUGAGCAACUCAAUUUUGGGUCAGUAAAUGAACAAUACAUCAUCUCCCCUUCUCCUUCUCAUCACCCUAACAUACUUGUUGUUUUUAUUUUCCCAACAAUGGUUGAGCUUCUACAGCUCAAAUACCAAGGCAGUGAUAAAUCUCCCUUUGAAAUCCACCCUAAAAAGAUGUCUUUGGCCGUCGCAAGUUACCUCAUUUACUGCUUUUCCUAUUAUUCUCAGCUGAAUAUUUCUACUUCAAACGAUCGUAUCCUCUCUUCAUACUAUGCUAAAAUGGUCCUAAUUCUUGGUUCUAUAUUUGGUCCUCUCAUAAUGACGUCUUACUCAUCAGUUCUUUUCCCCUCACUUUGUCCCCUUUUCUAUUCCAUUUCUGUCUUGUACUCCGUAAGUCAAUUGCUAAAUUGCAAACUCGAAGAAAGAUGGAAAGGGCUUUAUCUUAAAUUCAUGUAUUAUUCUAUCAGUCCACGUCAAAGGAAUAUUCUUCCUAUUUGAUUAUGCUUCUUUAAUUUAGUUUAGUUGAUCUAUCCCCAUUGAAUUAAGGGUUACAGGUUACUGUGCUAUUUGAUCUCCUUUCUCCUACUUCUUUUUUCCUUUUAUUUUCAUUUUCAGUUGGAUAAUCUUGUAAUUUGCACUUGACGAGUACUCCCUCCGUUUUAAAUUAAAUGAGAUACUUUUCUUUUUAGUUUGUUCAAAAAUAAAUGACACAUUUCUAAAUUUGGAAGUAAUUCAACUUUAAAUUAUUCAUUUUACCCAUUUUGCCCUUAAUGAAAACCUUUUAUAACCACACAAAUAUAAUGACCCCACAAAACUUUUACGCCUUAAGCUUUUAAGACCACAAUUUUAAAAAAAAAAUUCUUAAAUUCUGUAUCGAGUCAAACUACCUCAUUUAAAUUGAAAUAGAGGGAAUAAUACUUUUUAAUUUUUAAUUUUCAAAAGCAUGUUGUAUGGAAAGGACAAGAAAACUAUAAAUGGCGUGUUUCCCUAACGUAUUUUGGCAAAACUUUAAUUUGCUCAUUGACGUCAAAUGAGGUUGUUGAUAUCGACCACGUCGGGAAAAAAGUCAUAAUUUCUAAAAUUACGACGAAUUAUUAGUUGAACAUAAAGAUUAUUAUAAGGAUCCGAUCGAUCGUUUUGAGAGUUUUAGCCCUGAUCCCCUAUUUACUAUUUUCUGUAUCAUUUUAUGCUUAUGUAACUUAGUGGGAGGAUUGGUUUUGGCUAGUGAAAUGAGACACUUAGUCCCUACAAUGGAAGUUUAAGUUUUACAAAUUUGAUUGUAGUUGGAAUUGUAUGAAGACGACUCCUGAAUGGAGUUUCGCCGGUUCCGUUAGCUCCGUUGGGUGAUUUUGGACUUAGAAGCGUCUGGAUUAUAAUAUGGAGAUUCGUAGCUAAAUCAGGCUUGAAAUGGCGAAAGUUGGAUUUUGGGGAAGAUUGACCGGGAGUGGACAUUUUGAUAUUGGGAUCGAAUUCCGAUUCCUGAAGUUGAAAUAGGUCAGUAAUGUCAAAUUUAACUUGUGUGCAAAAUUUGGAGUCAAUCGGACGUGAUUUUGAUAGGUUCCGGCAUCGAUUGUAGAAGUUUGAAGUUUCAAAGUUCAUUAAGAAUGAAUUGCGGUGCGAUUCAUGUUUUUAGUGUUAUUUGAUGUGAUUUGAAGGCUCGACUAAGUUCGUAUGAUGUUUUAGGACUGACCGAUAUGUUUGGUUGAGGUCCCGGGGGCCUCGGGUGGAUUCCGGGUGAUUAGCGGACUAGAGUUGGACUUGUUGGAAUUAUAGAAAAUCUGGUGCUUUAGUUGUCGGUUUCCUUCUUCGCGUUCGCGAGGGGAGUUCCGCGUUCGCGAAGGGGAGUUAGCGGCAAGUGAGGAUUUGUGCUUCACGCUAGCGAAGUGGGAGUCGCGUUCGCGAAGGUCUGAGCAGUGGUGCAUCGCGAACGCAUGAAGGGUAUCGCGUUCGCGAAGAGGAAGAGGAGGAUACUAGGAUCCAAGCGUUGGUCUACACGUUCAUGAAGUAGGGAUCGCAUUCACGAAGAGGUGGGUUAGUUAUGCAUCGCAUUCUCGAGCGACUCCUCGCAUCCGCAUAGAAGGAUUUUGGGCAGAAGCAAACUUUGAGCUUCGCGAACGUGAGAGUGAGGUCGCGUUCGCAAAGAAGGAAAUGCCUGUGCAACAAAUUAAAUUUCAAAAUCAAGGGUUUUAUCCCAUUUUCAUUUUGGGACCUAGAGAGCUCGGAUUGAGGCGAAAAAUCAAGGAUUUUUCAGAGAAAGCAAUUAGGUAAUGAUUCUUAACUCAUUUUUGGUUAUAUCCCACUAAUUUAUCGUUUAUUUGUAUCAUUUAAUUAAGGUUUUAGGUCGAGAAAUUUAGGAAAAAAGUUGAAAAGUUCUUCACCCAAAUUUUUGGGUUUUGAUUGAGAUUUUGGUAUUAUAUUUGAGUACUUUUGGUAUGUGUGGACUCGUGGUUGAAUGAGAGUUCGUAUUUUGUGACUUUUAUCCGAUUUCGAGACGUGGGUCCGGGUCGACUUUUUGGGGCAAUUUUCGAAUUUCUUGUCAAAGUCUUGAUUUCAUUAAUUAGAUUAGUUUUUAUAGUUAUAUUUAUGGUAUGUAAUUGCUUUUGGCUAGAUUUGGGCCAUUGGAAGUCAGAAAGUCGUGGAAACUGACAUUCUUAUUGACUGAUUGAGCUCUGUUUAAGAUAAGUGGCUUGCUUAACCUUGUGUGGGGGAAAUCCCCUUAGGAUUUGGUACUAUUGUGAUACUUCUGUUAUAUGUGAGUGCCGUGUACGCGAGGUGACGAGUGCAUACACGGGCUAAUUUUUGUAAAAUUUGGUUUUUACUGAGCAGUAAUAUGUUACAUCUUAAGUGAGUUAUACCAGCAUGUGUAGUUAUCUUGUUUAGCCUAAUGUCCCAUAUCUACGUGUCUUAAUUGCUUAUUUGAAAUUUGUACGACAUGCUUAGUUGAUUUCCUGCUUUUCAUUGACUUGUAUUUAGUCUUAAACUGUAGGAUUUCUUGCUGUAAUUAUUGUUUCCAUCAAUUUUGAUUUGUGUGUUCACUUUUGGGAUUACGAGACGGUACCUUGGGAUAUCCCCUAUUACAUAUUUCUUUUUGGGACUACGAUGCAGUACCUCGGGAGAUCCCCUAUUGCAUAUCUACUUUUGAGACUACGAGACGGAACCACGGGAGAUCCCAUGUUGCAUAUUUACUUUUAGGACUACAAGACGGUACCUCCGGAGAUCCCCUAUUGAGCAUUUACUUUUUGGACUAUGAGACAAUAUCUCGGGAGAACCCCUUUUGUUCACCCUAUGUGUUGUGUUGUUAUUUUUCUGAAAUUUCUCAUUGCUAGUUCUCAGUCUUUGAUUAUAUUGCUAUAUCUUCUACCUUAUUUGUUAUAUUCUAGUAUGGCCCUGACCUGACCUCGUCACUACUGUACCGAGGUUAGACUUACUACUUACUGGGUACUGCUGUGGCGUACUCAUUUUACUCUUCUGCACAUGUUUUGUGUGUAGACCUAGGUACCUCCUACCAGCCCCGCUAUUAGUCGAGAGUAUUUGUUGUGGCUUUCGGAGACUUCAAGGUAUAUCUGCCAGCAUCCGCAGACCUCAGAGUCCCCCUCUAUCCUUUAUGUUGUUUCUUCUUAUUUUUCCUAAACACUAAUGUAUAGAGACAAUUAGAGUUUUUCCUUAGAGCUUGUGACUUACUACCGGGUCAUUGGGGAGUUGUUUAUGCUCAAAACUGUUAGUUUCACUUGUAUAUGUCGAGUGGCAGUUUUUCAUCUUUAUAUAUAUAUAUAUAAGACUAUGUGUGUGUGUGUGUGUGUGUAUAUAUAUACCUGUUAUUGCUAAGGUUUAUUUGUUAUUUCUUUUAUGUUUUUCAGCAAUUGUUACCUAGUCUUAGAGACUGGGUGCCAUCAUGAUAUCUUACGGAGGGAGAUUUGGGUCGUGGCAACUAUGACGAAUCCAAAUUACUCGUGCAUUUGGAUAUUUUAUAGCAUGUGCCUCUCUAGGAUAAUCUCAUCCUAAAGAAGUGAUACUGUGUACGGGUGAAAAUGGAGUUAACGCACACCUCGAUUUCACGGGGUAUCAAACGGAGUAAGAAUGUAUGAGAUCAAAAUCGAAGCCGGGAACUAUUUGUAGCAAACGGGAUGUUCGCCAUCGGACCUGAUAAGGCAACUCUCCCCAAACCAGAACAAGCUCCAAGGUCUUGGAAAACAUGGCAAACGAUUGCACACGACUAGCAGGGAGUCGUGAUAUCCGCGCCCAAUUGGAUAUCAUGGUGUAAAUCUUGCCCGAUGUCAGUAACGGUUCAGUAAUUAACGAGAAAUGAAGAUUUUUACCUUUUUAGACUUGUACUAGGGGUGAAACUCUCCUUCUAUAUAAAGAGAAAAUUCUUUUUGAUGAGACACAUUGUAACAUGCAUACCAAGGCAAUACAAAUUCAUUUUCUC